CAGUAGCCGCGGUAAUACGGAGGGUGCAAGCGUUAAUCGGAAUUACUGGGCGUAAAGCGCACGCAGGCGGUUUGUUAAGUCAGAUGUGAAAUCCACGAGCUUAACUUGGGAACUGCAUUUGAAACUGGCAAGCUAGAGUCUUGUAGAGGGGGGUAGAAUUCCAGGUGUAGCGGUGAAAUGCGUAGAGAUCUGGAGGAAUACCGGUGGCGAAGGCGGCCCCCUGGACAAAGACUGACGCUCAGGUGCGAAAGCGUGGGGAGCAAACAGGAUUAGAUACCCCAGUAGUCCCUGUCUCUUAUAC
Molecule: ribosomal RNA, 301 nt
Filed under: uncultured bacterium
Lineage: Bacteria
Description: partial 16S ribosomal RNA
Rfam family: Bacterial small subunit ribosomal RNA
Source: RNAcentral